This 301-nucleotide ribosomal RNA is filed under the name uncultured bacterium. RNAcentral's name for it is "partial 16S ribosomal RNA". It matches the Rfam family "Bacterial small subunit ribosomal RNA", at positions 509 to 807 of the family's 1533-position model. The record is from RNAcentral.
CAGCAGCCACGGGAAUACGUAGGGCGCAAGCGCUAAUCGGAAUUACUGGGCGUAAAGCGUGCGCAGGCGGUUUGUUAAGACAGAUGUGAAAUCCCCGGGCUCAACCUGGGAACUGCAUUUGUGACUGACAAGCUAGAGUGUGGCAGAGGGGGGUGGAAUUCCGCGUGUAGCAGUGAAAUGCGUAGAUAUGCGGAGGAACACCGAUGGCGAAGGCAGCCCCCUGGGCCAACACUGACGCUCAUGCACGAAAGCGUGGGGAGCAAACAGGAUUAGAUACCCCUGUAGUCCCUGUCUCUUAUAC